Long non-coding RNA from Alligator mississippiensis (American alligator), 5491 nucleotides. RefSeq lists it as uncharacterized. NCBI's taxonomy places the organism in Eukaryota, Metazoa, Chordata, Crocodylia, Alligatoridae. The transcript has 9 exons. The record is from RefSeq and is a predicted model, not a curated record.
UGGCCCCGCUCUCAGGGUAGCUGCUACGCCUCACGCUGCCUCAGGUGUUGGGUUCCCCUCUGGCUGCUGCCCCACCUCUGGGGGUGACUUCUCCCUCUGUCUCUUCCCUUCUGGGUUCUCCGCUGCGCUGCUCGCAGCCUGCUCCGCAACACCGGCUACAGCUGGCCCCACUCUCGGGGUAGCUGCUACGCCUCCCGCUGCCUUGGGUGGCAAGUUCCCGGCCGGCUGCUGCCCCGCCUCUGGGGCUGACUUCUCCCCCUGUCUCUGCCCCUCUGGGCUCUCCGCUGCGCUGCUCGCAGCCUGCUCCGCCUCUAUCCGGCGGGGUCCUGCACUCCACGGGUGGCGGCUGAUCCCCUGCUCGCUGGAGCUCCGGGCUCCUGCUCUCUCCCUCCAGCCGCCCCGCUGCUUCGGCGGGGCCGCCUUUUGUUCCUCCCGGCCGGCGUGCCCCACCCCCGCCGCUCAGCCGCAGCCGGAUAAACGCCCGGCUGAUGGCCCGCGCCGGCAGCGCCGGCGCGUGGCUUUUCUUCGGGUCUUCCGGCCCUGCGGGAGCUAUUCUUCCUUCGGUCAUGAGAUGACAGCAAGAAUGGAUUGUCAAACUGGACCAUUAUGACAAUUUCCUCUUGGGAAGAAAGUCCUGUGGGUGUUUGAAAGCUUACUGGAGUCAGAGGAGGGACAUACACUUCCAGCUGAAGCAGAGGUGAGGCAAAGGGCAAACAUUCAAACCUUUGUCCCAAAUGCUUUGGAUCCCUCAGAUGAAAAGUUGACCAAUUUAAAGAAGCUCCUGCUGAUGCACAGAAGAAGGAGUUUGCAGAUAUCAUUAAACAUCGCCAGAUGAGGCUGCAGGUAGCCAAAGCCUUCCUUAAUGAAAAUUUAAAGAGAGCAGAUGAAAAUGGUAUUCCUUCAAUCCAACACAACACUGAGCACGUUCUGCCAACCUCAAAGUUAUCCUAAGAUUUGAGUAAGAUCUAAAGCUCCAAGCCUGCAAAACACUGAAGGUUUUAAAUAUUUCUAACAUCAUAUGGUAUUAAAGUUGAGAAGGCAUGCCAACUUUUGCAGUACCAAACAACCCACUGGAAUCACUAGGACUCUCGGAGUGGUAAGGUACUUAUAAGGAUAAUGGAAUUGGGACUCAAAAUGAACAAAACUAUGUAAGUAUCAAGGGCAUCCAAGUUUUCCACUACCACCACAACAUAAGUCAGUAAGUAUCAAUUGGUUGUAUGCUCCCUGAUAUCAACCCAGCCUUAAAAAAAUUAUAAUCAAGUAUUUUGGUGGGAGGGAGUGGCAGAUUGCAUGUCUCAUGUCCUCAGGCUGCUGUGGACCACUGUCUUCCAUGGGGUCAUAGCAGUUGGUAUGCCAUUUCUGUGCAUGGCUGGGAGACCCCUGAUGCCAUGGGAUCUCCUAAGGGUGGGUGAGUUAAGCACCUGCUUUAUACCCAUUUUACACCAUUGUAAAGGAGUCACAACAUGAUUCUCUCUGUGUUAUUGCUUUACCAGCUACAUAAAGGUCUCUACAUACAAUGGAAAUAAUGACUGGGAGUUAGUGCAAAAAUCACUGGCCAUACACCAUAAUGUGUCAGGAUGCAGCUAAACAGAUACUGUUUACCAAACCCUAUGACAAUGUCUACAUCUUCUAGUUACAACACAGCAUAAAAUCCUAUGAAUGAAUAUGGGUUGUAAGUAGCUAGACUGGCUGGGCCCCUGUCCUGCAUAGUUCAGUCUUCUUCCUAGUUUACUGCGCUUAGCUUAAGGAAAUGACACAGUGGGUGCAUUUACUUGAGAUGCUAAAAGCUCAGUAGACUAAUUUACUGUGCAUUAGCACAUCACAGCAAAAGCUGUGCUAAUGCACUAUUGUGCAGUAGAAUUAGUCUACUGUACAUUAAUGUCACUUAAAAGACACGCGCCAGUGCUACUGCGCAGUAGCAUCAAUUACCACACAUUAAGUUAGUACCUGUUAUUACAAGUACUAAACUUAAUGCACAGUAAUUACAGCAUAUUAAUGCACAUGUAGACAUCCCCAAUUAAUAUAGCUAGAGAGCCUUUAAUCCCUGUCAGCUGGCUGUUGAAACUGGCUGGGAAGUACACAGGAAUUUACACAGUUUACAUGUUCAAUGUGUAAUAGGACAGGUAUGUCUUCAUACCUUUGUUAUACAUUGAAUACAAUUCAAUUCUAAUGAUUUUAUAAGAAAACCAAUCACCAGUGACCACACAGAUGUGCACGCAGAUGUACCCUAUUUCACUGCUUUGGUAUGUGUACCGAUUAGUUGACUGUUUAUUAUUGAACCUCCAUUAAAGGCUCCCUAUGCUUCUGGGUCACUUGACUUAUCAUGUUCCAGGUGUGAGCUACAAGAGCCUUUGAAAUCCUUCCUCCUCAUACAUCUGGCACCUAACAAAGCAUGGUACUAUCUUUUAGAAGGAAGAAGGAAGUGGGGAACUUGUUUAGAAGCUAAGACCUUAUUAAACUAAGGAAAAGUGGGGCGGGGGGCUGGAAGAAAAGAAAGGCCUGCUCAGGGCUGAGAUCUUAUUGAGCCAAGGUUGUACUGAAGCCUUAUCAAGACAGUGUCAGGGGUACAGGGCCUCUAGCCUAUCUGACCACAUGCACUUAGGAGAACACACACUAGUCAAUGGCCAACUUUCUAGUUUGCACACUUCCCUAAACCCAGUCCAUCUGUUUUUUCAUAGCUAACUUAAGAAAGGUCAGUUUUUACAUAAUAACUUUUGGGCAGAAACCUUUGUGUGUGCACAUGUGGCUCAUAUUUUAGAGCUAAUUCUGUGCUGAUAUUUAUUUCAUGCUAUCCCCAUGAUUUCAAUGCGGCAUCAUAGGGGUGUAAUUCAUGACUGAGCUUAGUGCAGGGGUGGGCAAAAUAUAGCCUACGAGCCAGAUCCAGCCCACCAAGCCAUUCUAUCCAGCCCACAGGGCACCUAAAAAGUUUAGAAAAUUAAUAUUUAUCUGCUACUGGUUGCCUGUAAAAGAUGAAAGGAGCCAGGGGCAGUAGGACCAAGGGAAAGGUGGCAGGACACAGGAGCAAGCCCAGCCCAGCCCUGCCCCGUCCCCCACUCUACCCCAGAACUGGAAGCUUUUUCCUGCCCUGGCUUUCACUGCUUCCCUGCAUGCCUGCUCCAGCACCACGUGGUCCCAGGCUGCAUCACUGAACUGCAGGAGCAUGGGGCCACACCAGUACCCCAGGGCCAGGAGCAGGAGUGGGUGUGUGUGUGUGUGUAUGGUGAGUGAUGUACAGUGUGUGUGUUCAUAGGAUGACUCCCAUAAGCAUACCCUACCAUACACAUGCACCCACACCCCCCUCGCACUGCCAUACAUGCAGACCCCACCCCCACGCCCCCUCACACACUGCAGCCACCCUCCCCCACACAUAUCCCCCCCACAAACUCCAUACCCACCCAUACCCCACAUAACUACACACACCCACAUGCUCCCUCACCCCACACCCACACUGCCCACACCUAUCCACCCCCUUACAAAUCCCCCACACACCCACACCCUCCCCACACCCCACAAACCCACACACCCACAGCCCCCCCAACCUACACCCACCCCCAUGCCCCCUACCCCCUUACCCCCCAAAUAUACAAAAAUAACUACCCAUGUGGCCCUUGACAGCUUGCCAAAACUCAGUAAGCAGCACUCCACCUGAAAUAAUUUCAUGCCCCUGGCUUAGUGUAUUAAUGAGUAAAUCCAAUCCCCUUCUCUACCACUGCCCAGAGUCUCCAGGCAGCUCUUCUGCUGUUCAAGAUAAACUGCAUGUAUGGAAGCUACACAGAGAGAACAUAUCUGCACAUCAUCCUAGAGUGAGCAGGAGAGGACAACACAUGGACAGUCUGGGAAGAGGUUCCAGAACCAACAGAACUACCAUUGAAUGGGAUUCAAUGAGAGCCCCCUCUAUAGAGCCUGAGAUCCGGAGUCACAGUGCUCCCACUUGGUAUGACACCCUAUCAUCCUGUAAACAGCAGGACACCCACCACAGAAUGCUGCCUAAAUGGGCAAGUUUCCAUGAUGGUGGAGAUGUCGCCAGCAGAAUGCAUGCUGGGGUGUCACAACAAGCAGGAGCUGGUGAUCAGCAGUGAAUCUAAGUCAACAAGACAUGUAGAAAAUUGAGGACAGCUCCUAAAAUAUUCGACUCAUAGCCCAACUUCAUGGAAUUCAUAGCUCUACCUGGCUUGUUACAAAAGCUUGUUUUACAUAUUUGAAAAGUUUUUUUUCGGAAUAAGUUAUUAUGCCACCUUCACAGAACUUUAAGAAAGAAGCAGGAAUGAAAAUAAAAGCAGCCCUCACCGUCAGAUAUUCUAUUAAACAAAAGGAGAUUGCUUAGCGCAUUCCUAGUUCAGCUAUCAACAUGCUCAUAAGAACUGUGAACUACAAUAUGGUUAUGACUAGUGCUCUACCCUGCAUUUGAACAACAGGAGCCUGAUGCUCCUCUCCUUCACAGCUGGUUUAUGACUUUGAUUCCCCUGACUUCAGCGAAGUUACCUCUGCUUUUAGCUUGUGCGAGAAGAGAAUAAGUUCUCCAUGGGUUCUGCACAGAGACUGUCUGUCAAUAACUAUUGGAGUUCUGUGUCUGAAUCUAAGGACGAAUAUGUUUAUACCACUUGAACAGUACUUUACUGUGCUGUUUUAUAAGGGGGAGGGGGAAUCUAUACUAACAUUUUUUCAUAGGUUUCAGAGUUAUGAGAAGAGAUCUGUCAGAAACUCGGUAAAAGUUAAUACAUUUUACAAAAAAUAAAUAGGUGUCAUGAAAGAUUGCAUGGUGAGAUGAGAAGAUUUCUGGGUGAUGAUACAAGGGGAUGCAUUUGACACAGUUGUUUUCCUACCAUCUCUCUAUCAUUUUAUUGUUGUGAUAGGAAUUCAGGCAAAGAAAAAAAACAGUAGUUUUCAUUUUUCAUUUUAAGUGCACAAAGAUCUUUGUCAAUUCUACAUGCUAAUCAUGUAACCUAUCAGAGGGUAUCUACAGGAUCAUGUAUUUAUAGUUGCAACCAAGUAUUUACUUGUGUAAACUCUACCAAUAUAAAAAUAGUAAUCUAUAUGAAAACAGCAAUAGUUCUUUUGGAAGAAUGUAGAAAAUCUAUAACCUGACUCACUGACUAAUGCUAAAAAAAUCAUUCUGACAUUUCCACUCGACUAUACAAGGCUUAUUUUUCAUGAAUUUGACUAUGAAGACUCCUCUUCUACUUCCCUGUUUUACCCAGAUCUUUGUCCUUUAAUUAGCAUUAAACAAACUGGACAACAUCUGGAUUUGACUUAGAUGCAGAAAAGUAUCUAAAAGAUCAGAUGAAGAUGUGAAAAUGAAUCUUGAAAGAGAAUUGCAAUCUUCUCUCCUCACACAAACUCCUCCCAUCAAUCUGCCAUCCAAAAAUGCAGCCAUAAAUUAUUUGAUCCACCAAAGCUUACUUUAUUUUGGCAUCGAUGGCUUCCCCCCCUCCCCCUUUCUAAAUGGUUGUUGUUAAACAAAGCUCAGGAUUAAAUGACAGCUUGAAAAAUG